RNAcentral lists this ribosomal RNA (229 nucleotides) under uncultured bacterium. RNAcentral describes it as "partial 16S ribosomal RNA". It matches the Rfam family "Bacterial small subunit ribosomal RNA", at positions 568 to 796 of the family's 1533-position model. The record is from RNAcentral.
CGCGUAGGCGGACCUUCAAGUCGGAUGUGAAACCCGGCGGCUCAACUGCCGGCCUGCAUACGAUACUGUUGGUCUUGAGUACAUGAGAGGAAAGCGGAAUUCCAGGUGUAGCGGUGAAAUGCGUAGAUAUCUGGAAGAACACCAGUAGCGAAGGCGGCUUUCUGGCGUGAUACUGACGCUCAAGCGCGAAGGCUAGGGGAGCAAACAGGAUUAGAUACCCUGGUAGUCC